Molecule: unclassified non-coding RNA, 367 nt
Filed under: uncultured Parmeliaceae
Lineage: Eukaryota; Fungi; Ascomycota; Lecanoromycetes; Lecanorales
Description: sequence contains ITS2
Rfam family: 5.8S ribosomal RNA (bases 1-154)
Source: RNAcentral
AACUUUUAGCAACGGAUCUCUUGGUUCCAGCAUCGAUGAAGAACGCAGCGAAAUGCGAUAAGUAAUGUGAAUUGCAGAAUUCAGUGAAUCAUCGAAUCUUUGAACGCACAUUGCGCCCCCUGGUAUUCCGGGGGGCAUGCCUGUUCGAGCGUCAUUACACCCCUCAAGCAUAGCUUGGUAUUGGGCUCUCGCCCCCGCGGCGUGCCCGAAAAGCAGUGGCGGUCCGGUGCGACUUUAAGCGUAGUAAAUUUCUCCCGCUUUGAAAGUUCGCCCCGUGGCCUGCCAGACAACCCCAUAUACUUCAAUAAUUGACCUCGGAUCAGGUAGGGAUACCCGCUGAACUUAAGCAUAUCAAUAAGCGGAGGCU